This 194-nucleotide non-coding RNA is filed under the name Clostridia bacterium. The record is from RNAcentral. Lineage: Bacteria; Bacillati; Bacillota; Clostridia.
AAUUAAUAAUUAAUAUCAGGUGUCCGUAAAGGAUGAAAAGGGAAAGCGGUUAGAAUCCGCUGCAGCCCACCGUUACUGUGAAGCUGAUGAAACCUGUAAGCAAGUCGAUACUUGCAGUCACUGAUUAAAAUCGGGAAGGUACAGGGAGUAAAUUGAAGCUAAGCCAGGAGACCUGCCUGAUAUUUGCAAAUUCU